GAUGAACGCUGGCGGCGUGCCUAAUACAUGCAAGUCGAGCGAAGCGGGGACGGGUGAGUAACACGUGGAUAACCUCCUAUAAGACUGGGAUAACUUCGGGAAACCGGAGCCAAACCGGAUCCUUAUUGAUGGUUCUGGGCUGCAUUAGCUAGUUGGUACGGUAACGGCUUACCAAGGCGACGAUGCAUAGCCGACCUGAGAGGGUGAUCAGCCACACUGGAACUGAGACACGGUCCAGACUCCUACGGGAGGCAGCAGUAGGGAAUCUUCCGCAAUGGGCGAAAGCCUGACGGAGCAACGCCGCGUGAGUGAAGAAGGUCUUCGGAUCGUAAAGCUCUGUUAUUUGGGAAGCGGUACCUAAACAGAAAGCCACGGCUAACUACGUGCCAGCAGCCGCGGUAAUAC
Molecule: ribosomal RNA, 405 nt
Filed under: uncultured bacterium
Lineage: Bacteria
Description: partial 16S ribosomal RNA
Rfam family: Bacterial small subunit ribosomal RNA
Source: RNAcentral